UAUUUUGUUGUUUCUUAUUGCACUUAAAACAGGUAAACAUGUCUGCUGACCAAAACUGUAACCAGGGUGCUGCUGAUUAUGGAUCAUUCUCAUGCACUCCAACUGAUGCACGGUUAUCACAGAGUGUCGGGACAAACCAAGAAGUUUCUUUGACCCAAGAUAAGUUUUUGAGAAGAUCUUCAUCUAGAAAACCUCUUAUGCAUCCAAGAUGGUAUUCAGAGAGUUUAUCUGGAAGCACAGAUCAAAUUGUUGAUGUCGCAAUUGCAUCGGAUGAUGAGAAUGAAAGUUUGUUACCCAAGCGGGAACUGAAUGAUAUUUCUAUUACUUUUAGUCGACAUAAAUAUUACAGCAAGUUGGUUGAUCCAUCAGAUACAAGGAUGAGAAUUCCAGAUCAUGUCUUGCCAUCAUCAUUCUUUUACAUCAUUCCAACAAAAACAACAGGAAAACAAAGCAGUGUGGUUACCAUUUUUGCAAUUUGGAAUACAAUGAUGGGAACUUCUCUUCUUUCAAUGCCUUGGGGUUUGGGGCAAGCUGGCUUUUUGUUUGGAAUCCUCUUGAUAUUGUUGUCAGCAAUGUUGACUCUGUAUACAGCUUUUCGUGUUCUGCAGUCCACAAAUACAUUAAGUUUUGAAGCAUUUGAAUUCUCAGAUGUUGUUUCGUUCUACCUUGGUAGAUACGGCGAAUGGGUUGCAAUUACUUUCUCUUUAGUAACAUUUCUUGGUGGAAUGAUUGUUUACUGGGUGUUGAUGACCAACUUCUUAUUCACAAGUGGAAUAUUUAUAUUUGAUAAAGCUCAUAGCAGCAAUAUCAGCAUGGAUAAGAACAGCAGUGAAGUAUUGUGUCCACACAACAAACCAACAACUAACAACACCAACAUUGAAGGUGUUAACGACAUGUGGAAUAUAUCUUUUACUGUUCCCAUAUACCUUGCUGUGUUGGUGUUUCCGCUCCUCAACUUUAAAUCUCCAACAUUCUUCACCAAGUUUAACUGCCUUGGAACAUUGUCUGUAUUCUUUCUUCUGGCGCUUGUUAUAACCAAGUCCAUCAAGUGGGGUUGGAACAUAGAAUACGCGGAAAUAAUGGAGUUCCGAAUCACUUUUCCUGCUUUAACUGGAAUGUUGUCUCUUGCAUUCUUCUUGCAUAAUGCUGCGAUUACGAUUGUGAAAAAUAACCAACAUCCCGAAAACAAUGUACGCGACUUAAGUAUUGGAUACCUAUUGACUGCCGUGACUUAUUUAUCUGUUGGUAUCUUGUUCUAUGCCUCGUUUCCUCUUCCAAAGAGUUGCAUAUCUUCAUUUACUUGUUUCAACAGAACCUCCUACAAAAUCUGUCGGUAUCUGACCCGUUUGCUGCUGGUGCAAGAGUGUUUCUUUUGUUUCAAAUGAUCACGGUUUUCCCGCUGCUUGCUUACAUGUUCAGAGCCAAUGCAUUAUAUGCGCUGUUUCAAACUGCUUGGCCAGGAAGAUGGCAUGUACUUUUGACAAACUUUGGUGUUUUGGUUGUAUGUGUUCUUAUAGCAAUGUUCUAUCCUCACAUUGGUGACAUCAUCAGGUACAGCGGUUCACUCUGUGGGCUUGUCUACAUCUUCUGCCUCCCAUCUGUUGUUUACAUGUUAUCUCUCAAAAUAUGCAAUAAACUUACCUUGCCACCUCUUAUAAUACAUGUAUGUAUCAUAUUACUUGGAGUCUUAAACUUCAUUGCACAGUUUAUCAUAACACCUUCAAAGUAAAUUCUUUGCACUAUUUUUACAUGUCUUUUACUGGUUUUUCUUGUGUUUUAACCAGAUUUCUUGCUCUCUUUUUCAGCAGUGGCUUUAUUGAUGUUUAUUUCCUAUUUUAAUCAAGGCAACAUACCUUAGUGUUAAUUGUAGCUAAAUAAUUGUUUUUAUUUGUUUUCGUAACUUUCUGUAUGACUCUUGUGGUUUUUAUGAUUUGAAGCAAAAUAUUUUUCAAAGAAAACUGUACACUAAAUCUCAUUAAAAUUUUAAAUAUUCAUGUUAGUUUAGUGCUGUUUUUUUAGCUUGUUGGAAACCAUUUUAGUGUUUUUUUUUGUGUUUUUUUUUGAGGUGCCUUCAUUUAUCAACAGUGUUCUGAUUCUCUUGAAUGUUUUUUUGUUUAAUUGGUUAAUAGUUUGUGGUAGCUGGUUCUGUGUGAAAUACAUUUGUUGUUUGUG
Molecule: RNA transcript, 2172 nt
Organism: Ciona intestinalis (vase tunicate)
Lineage: Eukaryota; Metazoa; Chordata; Ascidiacea; Phlebobranchia; Cionidae
Gene name: neutral amino acid transporter 9
Source: RefSeq, a predicted model, not a curated record